RNAcentral lists this long non-coding RNA (371 nucleotides) under Phoenix dactylifera (date palm). Its description in RNAcentral is "long non-coding RNA (PDAC_LNC003470)". Lineage: Eukaryota; Viridiplantae; Streptophyta; Magnoliopsida; Arecales; Arecaceae. The record is from RNAcentral.
GAGUCACCUUCAAGAUAAAUGCUAUCCACAUCCAGAACACACCUCGCAUAGGUGAUACUCUUCCAUGCAGUUCUCAACUCUGCCCCGAUGACAGUCAUAUUACAGGUAUAUUGCCUCUCAGCUGCAAACAGUCUAAAGUUAUAACAUCUGAUCACAAAACCUACACCUUCACUGUCAGUACUUACGGACACACUACUGUCAAAGUUCAUUUUAAGAUGGCCGGAGAGUAGGGGCUCCCAAAAGACUAGACUUUGAGACUUAGAAAUGCCAUCACAUGUUUCAUCAUAUACGGUAAAGUUUAUGUCGUAAAUCAAAGACCAUAUCCAAAGAGUCAAAACACAUUGGAACUGAUUUGGAAAUGCCGUCAAACA